RNAcentral lists this ribosomal RNA (253 nucleotides) under uncultured bacterium. RNAcentral describes it as "partial 16S ribosomal RNA". It matches the Rfam family "Bacterial small subunit ribosomal RNA", at positions 524 to 776 of the family's 1533-position model. The record is from RNAcentral.
UACAGAGGUCCCAAGCGUUGUUCGGAUUCACUGGGCGUAAAGGGUGCGUAGGCGGUCGGGUAAGUCUGACGUGAAAUCUUCAAGCUCAACUUGGAAACUGCGUCGGAAACUACUCGGCUAGAGGAAUGGAGGGGAGACUGGAAUACUUGGUGUAGCAGUGAAAUGCGUAGAUAUCAAGUGGAACACCAGUGGCGAAGGCGAGUCUCUGGACAUUUCCUGACGCUGAGGCACGAAAGCCAGGGGAGCAAACGGG